UACGAAGGGGGCUAGCGUUGUUCGGAAUCACUGGGCGUAAAGCGCACGUAGGCGGAUUGUUAAGUCGGGGGUGAAAUCCUGAGGCUCAACCUCAGAACUGCCUCCGAUACUGGCAAUCUCGAGUUCGGAAGAGGUCGGUGGAACAGCUAGUGUAGAGGUGAAAUUCGUAGAUAUUAGCUAGAACACCAGUGGCGAAGGCGGCCGACUGGUCCGACACUGACGCUGAGGUGCGAAAGCGUGGGGAGCAAACAGG
Molecule: ribosomal RNA, 253 nt
Filed under: uncultured bacterium
Lineage: Bacteria
Description: partial 16S ribosomal RNA
Rfam family: Bacterial small subunit ribosomal RNA
Source: RNAcentral